UUGCCAGACUCCUACGGGAGGCAGCAGUCGGGAAUAUUGCGCAAUGGAGGAAACUCUGACGCAGUGACGCCGCGUAUAGGAAGAAGGUUUUCGGAUUGUAAACUAUUGUCAUUAGGGAAGAUAAAAGACUGUACCUAAGGAGGAAGCCCCGGCUAACUAUGUGCCAGCAGCCGCGGUAAUACAUAGGGGGCAAGCGUUGUCCGGAUUUACUGGGUGUAAAGGGCGUGUAGCCGGGCCGGCAAGUCAGAUGUGAAAUCCCAAGGCUCAACCUUGGAACUGCAUUUGAAACUGUUGGUCUUGAGUAUCGGAGAGGCAGGCGGAAUUCCUAGUGUAGCGGUGAAAUGCGUAGAUAUUAGGAGGAACACCAGUGGCGAAGGCGGCCUGCUGGACGACAACUGACGGUGAGGCGCGAAAGCGUGGGGAGCAAACAGGAUUAGAUACCCCCGUA
Molecule: ribosomal RNA, 448 nt
Filed under: uncultured bacterium
Lineage: Bacteria
Description: bacterial SSU rRNA
Rfam family: Bacterial small subunit ribosomal RNA
Source: RNAcentral